RNAcentral lists this long non-coding RNA (532 nucleotides) under Spirodela polyrhiza (greater duckweed). RNAcentral's name for it is "long non-coding RNA (SPOL_LNC002308)". The record is from RNAcentral. Lineage: Eukaryota; Viridiplantae; Streptophyta; Magnoliopsida; Alismatales; Araceae.
GGUGAGGGAUGAGACAGGGUGCAGCCCAGUACCGUGGGCGGUGUGGACGCGAGCAUGGACGGCGGAGGAGAAUCGACAUGGUGACCUCCUCAAUCGCUACCUGUAUCUCAGCGGCAGGGUUGACAUGCGUCAGGUAGAGAAGACCAUACAGUACCUCAUCGGCGCAGGCAUGGUGAGAUACACCUCUCUCUCUCUCUCUCUACAUUAUGCAGACAUGCAUGAUGGAAACGUCAUGGGAUUUAGAAGUAAGGGGAGUCGGUGGCGAAAGACGAUUACAUGAAAAGCUGCAUCGAACCACUUUCGGCUAAUUUUCGAAUGUAAAUGUCUAGCUUCAUAAUUGAUACCAUUUGAACACACAAGGUUAUCAGUCAAACCAGGUGCUUACCAGAGCAGUCACAGUUCUGUCCUCCGUGCUGAUCUUAGACAUCUUCCUUGCUUGUAGGUUCUACCCGUGGACAACAACCCAUACAUGGGCUUCGUCUACACGUCUUUCCAAGAGAGGGCCACCUUCAUCUCCCACGGCAACACGGCG